This 253-nucleotide ribosomal RNA is filed under the name uncultured bacterium. RNAcentral's name for it is "partial 16S ribosomal RNA". It matches the Rfam family "Bacterial small subunit ribosomal RNA", at positions 524 to 776 of the family's 1533-position model. The record is from RNAcentral.
UACGGGGGGGGCAAGCGUUGUUCGGAAUUACUGGGCGUAAAGGGCUCGUAGGCGGCCAACUAAGUCAUACGUGAAAUCCCUCGGCUUAACCGGGGAACUGCGUCUGAUACUGGAUGGCUUGAGUUCGGGAGAGGGAUGCGGAAUUCCAGGUGUAGCGGUGAAAUGCGUAGAGAUGUGGAGGAACACCGAUGGCGAAGGCAGCCUCCUGGGCCAGCACUGACGCUCAUGCACGAAAGCGUGGGGAGCAAACAGG